This 433-nucleotide ribosomal RNA is filed under the name uncultured bacterium. Its description in RNAcentral is "bacterial SSU rRNA". It matches the Rfam family "Bacterial small subunit ribosomal RNA", at positions 29 to 507 of the family's 1533-position model. The record is from RNAcentral.
AACGAACGCUGGCGGCAGGCCUAACACAUGCAAGUCGAGCGAGGUAGCAAUACCUAGCGGCGGACGGGUGAGUAACGCGUGGGAACGUACCCUUUGCUACGGAAUAGUCCUGGGAAACUGGGGGUAAUACCGUAUGUGCCCUUCGGGGGAAAGAUUUAUCGGCAAAGGAUCGGCCCGCGUUGGAUUAGGUAGUUGGUGGGGUAAUGGCCUACCAAGCCUACGAUCCAUAGCUGGUUUGAGAGGAUGAUCAGCCACACUGGGACUGAGACACGGCCCAGACUCCUACGGGAGGCAGCAGUGGGGAAUCUUAGACAAUGGGCGCAAGCCUGAUCUAGCCAUGCCGCGUGAGUGACGAAGGCCUUAGGGUUGUAAAGCUCUUUCAGCCGGGAAGAUAAUGACGGUACCAGCAGAAGAAGCCCCGGCUAACUCCGUG